AGGCGCGGAGCCAGCACCCGGCGAGGGGGCGCGGCCGCGCGUGCUGGCUCCGCCGGAAUCUUCAGUGGCCACAGGGUUGGCAGCAAGCUCCUGCGCGCAGCGAUUGUAACCGGAGGAAGUGGAGAAGACAACCAGAUUUUCCAUUUUUCCUUUGGGCUAAAGUAACCGAAAAUUGGGCCUAUUUUUUCAAAAAAAAAAAUUAGGCCCAAAUGUGGAUAGUGGAUCCAUUCAAACGGUCCAUGGAUAUGGCUUUAAUUGGUAUUUCUCUCAAACC
This 274-nucleotide long non-coding RNA is filed under the name Olea europaea (common olive). RNAcentral's name for it is "long non-coding RNA (OEUR_LNC006050)". The record is from RNAcentral. Lineage: Eukaryota; Viridiplantae; Streptophyta; Magnoliopsida; Lamiales; Oleaceae.